RNAcentral lists this ribosomal RNA (636 nucleotides) under Penicillium charlesii. Its description in RNAcentral is "eukaryotic LSU rRNA". It matches the Rfam family "Eukaryotic large subunit ribosomal RNA", at positions 1 to 649 of the family's 3401-position model. The record is from RNAcentral. Lineage: Eukaryota; Fungi; Ascomycota; Eurotiomycetes; Eurotiales; Aspergillaceae.
GGUUGACCUCGGAUCAGGUAGGGAUACCCGCUGAACUUAAGCAUAUCAAUAAGCGGAGGAAAAGAAACCAACAGGGAUUGCCCUAGUAACGGCGAGUGAAGCGGCAAGAGCUCAAAUUUGAAAGCUGGCCCCCUCGGGGCCCGCAUUGUAAUUUGCAGAGGAUGCUUCGGGCGUGGCCCCUGUCUAAGUGCCCUGGAACGGGCCGUCAGAGAGGGUGAGAAUCCCGUAUGGGAUGGGGUGCCCACGCCCGUGUGAAGCUCCUUCGACGAGUCGAGUUGUUUGGGAAUGCAGCUCUAAAUGGGUGGUAAAUUUCAUCUAAAGCUAAAUAUUGGCCGGAGACCGAUAGCGCACAAGUAGAGUGAUCGAAAGAUGAAAAGCACUUUGAAAAGAGAGUUAAAAAGCACGUGAAAUUGUUGAAAGGGAAGCGCUUGCGACCAGACUCGCCCCAGGGGUUCAACCGGCUUUCGGGCCGGUGUACUUCCCCCGGGGCGGGCCAGCGUCGGUUUUGGCGGCCGGUCAAAGGCCCCUGGAAUGUAACGCCUCUCGGGGCGUCUUAUAGCCAGGGGUGCCAUGCGGCCCGCCGGGACCGAGGAACGCGCUUCGGCUCGGACGCUGGCAUAAUGGUCGUAAGCGACC